GCGGAUCCAGCUUGGCUGCCUGCUGCUCUGAUGUACCUUUAGACAGAGGCUGUGAGUCUCUGGGAGUGGAGUUAGGGGUGUGUGAACAGCCCGCCCCUGGCUUCUGUGUAGGCCUCAGUCAGUCUGAAUGUUAUUGCAAGCACUGCCAGUAACUCCAACCGCAGCACGCCGGCCUGCUCUCCCAUCCUCCGGAAGCGGUCCCGCUCACCAACACCACAGAACCAGGACGGAGACACCAUGGUGGAAAAGGGCUCAGAUCACUCCUCGGACAAGUCCCCAUCCACCCCAGAGCAGGGUGUGCAACGCAGUUGCUCCUCACAGUCUGGUCGGAGCGGUGGUAAAAAUUCCAAGAAAAGCCAGAGUUGGUACAAUGU
This 374-nucleotide long non-coding RNA is filed under the name Rattus norvegicus (Norway rat). RNAcentral describes it as "long non-coding RNA NONRATT027732". The record is from RNAcentral. Lineage: Eukaryota; Metazoa; Chordata; Mammalia; Rodentia; Muridae.